UGAUAUCUUGCUUCUUGUAUGUUGUCAUAUUCAUCCAGAAAACCCUCCCCGAUCCAAAGUUGUAUAAGAUUUCGAUGAGAGAUUUCAUAAUCCUCCGGAAAUAAAGAGCAAUAUAGGAAACAUGAUUUGAUGGCUUCAUCGGGUAGGCGAUCAUAACUGAAUGCCAAGCGUGAAAACAAAUGAUUCUCCAUACCUGGAAACUUUGCCGGAUAAUUCUUCAACAUUUGUAUUUUUUUCUCCCAUUCUUCUGGUGUUUUUGUUCCCGCCAUUGCUCGCCCUAUGGUGAUGAGGGCAAGUGGUAAGCCGCAACACUCUUUGGCAACCAUCUCCGCCAGCUUUGGUAUAUCUGGAUGAGAAUUUAUGGUGUCUGCUCCCACCUUGGUCUGAAACAGAGCAAAAGCAUCCUCCCAUGGGAGACAAUUCACUUCAAUGCUCUCUGUAACUUCCAUAUCUUGGCACACAUCUUUAGAUCGCGUUGUAAGUACCAUCUUCAACUUAUCUUGAGGAUUCAGAGGAGGAAUACCAACUUUGGAUAGAUCCAGCCGCUCCCAUAUGUCAUCUAACAAAAGCACAAAUUUCUUUGUCUUCAGGACAUUGAAUAUUUCUUCUGCCCUUUCAUCCUCACUUCUACCUUCCCAUUUAUCUUGGGGAAUCUCCACUUUAUUGAAAAGAACUCGCUGAACCUUUUCCACAUUGGCUGGUCUGGACACAGUCACCCAAAUCACUGCAUCAAAUUCAAGCCUGGUUUUGAGGAGCUCAUUGUUGAUCCUGGUCAAGAGGGUGGUUUUGCCCACACCCCCCAUUCCAUAUAAUCCGAUACUGCUUACCUGCUCUCCACCAUCUUGGAGCCAUUUCCAGACCUUCCCAAACAACAAAUCUUGGCCCACAGUCUUGUCAAGCUGCCUCUCCAUCACGGGAGGACUAGGCAAAGGUUCAGCAACUACACUGAAAUUUGAGCCCUCCGUCUUCUUUACCGUCACAGCAUCCAUCUUUUCAAGUACCAUCUUGCCAAGAUUGUAGCUAGCGCCACAGUUUUUAGGACAACAGGUUCCGAGAUAUUUCUUCUGGAUUUCUUCAUCACCUUUCGCCAAUAUUUCCUUCACUUGUUCUUCCAUGGCUUCUACAUUGCGGAGCCAGCCAUCGACUACAUGAGUACACUUCUUCUGAAGUUUCUCUUCACGUUCCACCCGUUCCUUCACAUCUUCGUAUAGGUUCUUGAGUUCCUCCAUUGCAGUUCUCAAAGAGUUGAGAUUUUGUGGGAGAUGACGGAUGUAAACAGCACGCUUGGCAGUGCAAUACCACAAGCGAGUAGUGACAUCCAGGAUUGGGCUCACACAAUCCAUGGAGAAAACCAGAACUGGGAUUCAAAGCCAAGAAGAACUUAAUCAGAAUGGGAAAACAGGUGCUGGAUUGAAGUUGGAGAGGAAAAGAGAAGAAUUCUGGAUUUAUGUUUGUUAUGUGCAAAACCUAGCAAAGUUGAAGAUGAAAUAUCACAUUUUUUUUUUUCAAGUAAAAGACUCAGCAAUCAGCAUAAGGGUUUUUGAUUGGCUACAUAAGGGUCCACCACUAGUGAUAUUUUCCUAUUCUUUUCUUCCUUUUGUGUUUCCAUCAAUCAAGCUUAGUAAAGGGUCCACAGCACUUCUGGUUUCCUCUUUUCCUUUCAUGGGAAUCUUUUUCUUCCAAUACAUAUGAAUUCAUUUAGAUAUAAAGUUUGUGUAGUGCAUAUAAUUCUUCACCACUGUUUUUGAAAUAUAAUUAUUUUCUCUUGGUACGUUGAGAUCCAUUUUAUUAGUAAUUUAGGAAUUUAGUAGGUUUCUUUCAUCAUUCCGAAUACGAAUUUAUUAGGAAUUUAGGAAUUUUUUUGUAAUCCCAUUCCAAGUUUGUGAAUUCAUUGGUUUUUGAAUUUUUGAUAAUAUAAAUAAAGAAAGUUUGUGUAUUUAUUUUUGAGAAAAUAAUUUUUAUUUAUUUGAGAAACCAAUACAUUCAAAUUGCUCAUUAUAACCUACCUUGACUAUUGUGGAUUAGGGUAGACAUUUUAACCUGCUAUAAUAACAAUCAAGAAUAUAAGAGGAAAGUGACAAACUAAUAGAGAGAGAAGUCAUGCAAAUAAAUCACUUAAACUCAGUAAGUCCACCAUGCUAGAAUUCCCAUUUCUCAGUUAGGAAAGCAAAUAAAGAAAAAAAAAAAAAAAAUCAAAUGCACAACUAAUUAAAUACCAAAUUUUUCCUUAACUCAAGUUCCAGUUUGAACCUUUUACUAUCCCAACAAAAUCGUUAUUUUGUCUAUCGGUAUAUUUUAUUUGCAACCUUGCUUGAUGACUAAAUUAUCUUCUAUUAGAAAAACACUUUUAAAGGUUAAUUAUGUAUGCUUUCUCUUUCGUUUAUAAUUUUUUUUACUAGUAUUAAUGAUUAAUUCUCUUUUAUUCACGGAUAUAAACAUAAUUAGUUGAACUCACUUUUUUUAUGUUUACAUUUACUUUUGUCUGUAUGUUAUUACACUAAUAUGUACUUGAUAUUGAAUUUUUUUUAACAUAACAAAUAUAUAUACACUCAAAUUACAUAUCCAAAAUCGAAAUGAGUUCACAUUUGGGUUGUGGAAGAAAAAAAAUUCUAAAAAAAUUGACCAAAGGCAUUGUGGACUCUUUACAAAGUUUGGUGGUUCAUAAAGGAAGAAAAUAAGUAAGAUAUGCUCAAAUUACAUAUCCAAAAUUCAAAAUGAGUUCAAAUUUUGGUUAUGGAAGAUUUUUUUUUUUUUUAAAAAAAAAAAUGAGCAAAGACAUUGUACCCAUUAAAAUUUUGGUGGUUCAUAAACGAAGAAAAGAAGUAAAGAUAUACUCAAAUUAUGCAUCCAAAAUUCAAAAUGAGUUCACAUUUGGGUUAUGGAAGAAAAAAAAAGAGCAAAGACAUUAUGGACCCUUUACAAAGUUUGGUGGUUCAUAAAGAAAUAAAAGAAGUAAAGAUGUGCUCAAAUUAAAUAUCCAAAAUUCAAAACGAGUUCACAUUUGGGUUAUGGAAAAAGUAAAAAUUCUAAACAAAAUUAGCAAAGUCAUUGUGUACCCCUUACAAAGUUUGGUGAUUCAUAAAGGAAGAAAGAAGUAAAACACCGAAAGUGCGGAUUCUUUGGUAACAUUUUUCAAGACAUUCAUUCGCAUCAUAUAUCAUUUAUUAAGGAAGAUUGCCAAAAUCAAGAUCAAGUCAAACCUUCAUGAUUUCAGCCUACAAUCAAGCCAUUUGAAUAAAGUCUUUGAUCUGUUUCUAUUUAUGUGAUUAUUAGCCGAGAUUGGUGUAUAGUUAUUUUGUCAUAGUAAUUGCUAUAAAUAUUUCCUAAAAUAGUUCUCUGUGAUGUUGUAUAUAUUUACGUACAGAUCAAUUGAAUAAUAGAUGAAGAAAUAGUUUAUUUAAUCCAGCAGUAUAUUUCUCUAUAUGGUAUCAGAGCAACCCUUCUCCAACGAGUCAAUCCCUCCCAUUUCCCCAAUGUCUUCCUCACCCGAACAACCUCAAAUUCAUCUCAACACCCACCCCAUUUCCUCCAUUGAAACCACUCUUGUUGCUCUCAAUAUCACUGCCCAGAUUAAUGAAAAAUUGACUCCUUCUACUUUUCCUCAAUGGCGUGCUCAAUUUGAAGCCUUACUCAUAGGAUAUGAUUUGCUUGAUUAUGUCACCGGCAUCUCUCAAUGUCCCUCUCCGAGUGAUCUCUCUGUUUCUGCCCUACACAAAACUCAUUGGGUUCGGCAAGACAAACUUAUACUCAGUGCCCUUCUUGCUUCCACUUCCCCUACCAUCACCCCACUCAUUGCAACAGCAAAAACGUCCCAUGAGGCUUGGCAAAAAUUGAACACCCUCUAUGCUAGCAAAUCACGAACUCGGGCUAUGUAAUUAAAAGAGGAACUCACCUUAAUACAGCGUGGAAAUCGGCCUAUCUUUGAUUAUCUACAUGCUGUGAAGUCUCUGGCAGAUGAAAUUGCCAUUAUUGACCACCCCAUUUCUGAUGAUGACCUAACCCUCUAUGUGCUUAAUGGCUUAGGUUCUGAUUUCAGGGAAAUUGCAGCACCAAUCCGAGCUCGCGAAAAGUCUCUUGCCUUUGAGGAGCUCCACGAUCUUCUGGUCGGCCACGAACAUUAUUUGCGUCGCCUUGAAACUGCUACUCAGCAACUGGUAGCCGCUGCAAACUAUACAACCAGGAAGUCUGGUUCUUCGGGAGGUCAACAACGCAGCUAUAGGAAGCCGAAUGGGCCUCAGCGUCAGUCUGGGCAAGCUCCAGCCCGAAGUGGAAAUCGUGAUGGUCGACGUCCCAAUGGUUCCAAUCGGCCCAGCAACAACCAGCGGCCUUAUAGGCCCAAAUGCCAAUUCUGUGAUGAGUUGGGCCAUACGGCCAAAAAUUGUCCUCAGCUGAAGCCCAGUGAAAUUACUGCAAACAGUGCAACAACUUCUACCAUGAAAGAGCAAAAAUGGCUCCUUGAUUCCGCUGCCUCCCACAACAUCAUUGGUGAUCUUCAGAAUUUAUCUAUUCACUCCGAAUAUGACGGCACCGAUGAAGUGGUUCUGGGUGAUGGUUCAGGUUUGGCUGUUUCACAUGUUGGUUCUUUAGCUAUACACUCACCCAAUCGAACCUUUAUCUUGCGUGAUACUAUCUGUGUUCCAAAUCUUAAAAAAAAUUUGAUUUCUGUUCAUCAUUUUACCUCACAAAAUAAUGUAUAUGUUGAGUUUCACCCAUCUUAUUUUCUUGUGAAGGAACUGAUCACGGGGGCGAUCCUACUAAGAGGUUCAUGUGAGAACGACAUUUACAUUUUUCCGGAAUCACUUGUGGGAAAUUUUUCACAAAAGGUUGCUAAUGUGCAUGAACGGACGUCGCUUGAUGGGUGGCACAAGCGUCUUGGUCAUCCUUCCUAUCCCAUUGUUAAAAAUCUUGUUUCUACUUUUUCUCUUCCUACCACUACAAAUAAAAUGUCCAUGUUAUGUCGUUCUUGUUCUAUUAAUAAAUCUCAUCAACAACCUUUUCGCACAACUAGUCUUUCGAGUACUGGUCCACUUGAAAUUAUUUAUACGGAUGUUUGGGGUCCCGCACACUCAAUGGGUCUUGAUGGCUCUCGUUAUUAUCUUCUUUUUGUGGACCACUACACGAAAUACAUGUGGUUUUAUCCCAUGGCUACCAAAUCGAGUGUGUCAACUAUUUUUCCACAAUUUAAAAUUUUUGUUGAAACUCGGUUUCAAGCCAAAAUUAAAACCCUUUACUCUGAUAAUGGUGGUGAAUUUAUUUCUCUCAAACCUUUUUUAAAUCUUCACGGCAUUAGUCACUAUACUACUGCUCCUUACACCCCGCAACAAAAUGGAGUCUCUGAACGCCGUCAUCGACAUCUUGUUGAAACUGGCCUCACCUUACUUUCGGAUGCUUCCUUGCCUCUUUUAUAUUGGCCUCAUGCUUUUCGAACUGCCACCUAUCUCAUAAAUAGGCAACCGACUCCUCUUCUCACCAACAAGUCCCCCUUUGAGGCUCUUUUUGGACAUAAACCAAAUUAUCUUAAAUUAAAAAAAUUUGGUUCGCUUUGCUAUCCCCUUACACGUCCAUAUAAUAAUCACAAGAUGCAACCUAAGUCCAUUCCAUGUCUUUUUUUGGGCUAUUCUCAAACUCAAAAUGCCUAUAUUUGUUUGGAUCUUAAGACCCACAAAACUUAUGUGUCUCAUCAUGUGUUAUUUGAUGAGACCCAACUGCCUUUUCAAUCCGAGCAAGCCCAGAGCCCAGCCUAACCCGAGUCUUCUUCUCAUCUGUGCCCUACUUCCUUUAUUCCAUUGUCUUCUCAGCCCGUGCGAGUUCCUCCUCAAGUGAUUCCGUCCGUGCACUCUUUUGGCUCGGCACCAUCACAUGUGCUUCCGGCCGAUGUUUCUACUGCAUCUCCAUCACCUCCAGGUAACCCCCCUCUCUCUUCUCCUAAUUUUCCUUUGACUGAUGUUCUUAGAAAUUCCGGUUCUCAUUCGGAUGUUCUCAUCUCGCAUGACCCUGUUCUUCCUUCCUCCCUUCAUCUGACUCACACACACACGGUUGUUGAUCUUACUUUAUCUCAGUCCCAUUCCAUUCCCCCUUCGUGUGUUCAAACUGGGAACCCUCGUCUCCACAAAAUGACAACCCGUUCCAUGAACAACAUCUUUAAACCCAAGCAACUUCAUUUGGUUUCCAAACAUCCCAUUCCUCUAGCAAUUGAGCCAACUUGUGUGACUCAAGCCGUGAAUCAUCCUCAGUGGCGUGAUGCUAUGUCCAUUGAGCUCACUGCCUUGAUGAAACAUGGAACCUGGGAUUUGGUUCCACACCCCCCCCCCCCCCCCCCCAAAACUGUACACCUGUGGGCUGUAAAUGGGUGUUUAGAGUAAAACACAAAGCUGAUGGCUCGGUGGACAAAUUUAAGGCCAGGCUUGUGGCCAAAGGCUAUACUCAAAGACCGGGCCUAGAUUACAAGGAAACCUUCAGUCCUGUUGUUAGGCCAGCCACUAUUCGAUGUGUUUUGACUAUAGCCGUGAUGAAUGGGUGGCCUUUACGCCAAAUGGACAUCAACAAUGCUUUUUUACAUGGAACCCUCACAGAAACUGUUUAUAUGAUGCAACCUCCAGGGUUUAAAGAUACCAGUAAGCCUGAUCAUGUGUGUCGAUUGAGAAAAGCCAUUUAUGGGCUUCGACAGGCUCCUCGAGCUUUGUACACAACUCUGAGAACUGCUCUUUUUCAGCUUGGGUUCAAAAAUUCCAAAGCUGAUUCUUCUCUAUUUAUUUAUACACAUGGUCCUAUCAUUUGCUAUUUUUUGGUUUACGUUGAUGAUCUUGUAAUUACUGGCAAUGAUAUUCAGUUUGUGGAUCACAUAAUUCAGAAAUUGGGUGAAAUUUUUUCCCUAAAAGAUAUGGGAAACCUUAGCUUCUUUCUGGGAGUAGAGGUUAUUCCUACUCGUGCUGGUGUGUUCUUGUCACAGCAUCAAUACAUUCGUGACUUAUUGUCCACAACGAAUAUGCUUGGUGCUAAGGAUGUGUCCACUCCUUUAUCCACAACUGCUUCUCUGAAAUUGUUUGAUGGCACAACACCUGUUGACAGCACUGACUUUCGGCGUGUCAUUGGUAGUCUUCAGUAUCUUUCACUGACCCGACCGGACAUUUCGUUUGCUGUGAAUAAGCUAUCUCAAUUCAUGCAUAAGCCAACUACAGCCCACUGGACAGCCACGAAGAGACUGCUUCGUUACUUGAAACAAACCAUUUUUCAUGGUAUUCAGCUUACUAGAAACACAACUUCAGUUUUAACCACGUUCUCUGAUGCUGACUGGGCAGGGAAUGUGGAUGACAGAACCUCUACUUCGGCUUAUAUUAGUUUUCUUGGCACAAAUCCCAUUUCUUGGAGCUCCAAGAAACAACGAGCUGUUGCUCGCUCAUCGACGGAAGCUGAAUACCGUGCUCUUGCCAAUGCUGCGUCUGAAACUGUGUGACUGAACUCCUUACUUCAUGAACUCGGUUUUCCACUCAAGGUGCCUCCCUUGUUGCUAUGUGACAAUCUUGGCGCCACGCAUCUGAGUUUUAAUCCAGUUAAUCAUUCUCGCAUGAAGCAUAUUCAGAUUGAUUUACACUUUGUCCGAGAGCUUGUUCAAAAUGGGACCCUUCAUGUUCGUCAUGUUCACACGCAAGAUCAACUUGCUGAUCUCUUGACAAAACCCUUGUCACGACAACGGACUGAAUUGUUACGUACCAAGAUUGGUCUUGCCGAUGGAAGCUCAAUCUUGCGGGGGCGUAUUAAGGAAGAUUGCCAAAAUCAUGAUCAAGUCAAACCUUCAUGAUUUCAGCCUACAAUCAAGCCAUUUGAAUAAAGUCUUUGAUCUGUUUCUAUUUAUGUGAUUAUUAGCCGAGAUUGGUGUAUAGUUAUUUUGUCAUAGUAAUUGCUGUAAAUAUUUCCUAAAAUAGUUCUCUGUGAUGUUGUAUAUAUUUACGUACAGAUCAAUUGAAUAAUAGAUGAGGAAAUAGUUUAUUUAAUCUAGCAGUAUAUUUCUCUAUAUCAUUUGUGUCUUUUUAGUCAUUAUUAAAUGUUGGGCAUCAUUCAUGACUCAUGACCUAUAUGAAGAGUGCUUUUUUUAUUUUUUAUUUUUAUAAAUAUAAUGUUCUAAAUAAUAAAUAUUACUAACAUUUUACAAAAAGAAUAUUUACUUGUUCAUUUGUAAUUAAUUUUUAUUUUUUACUUUCGUUAAUUUUUUGUGAGACGAUAUUUUGAUAUCCUCAACAACUCAAAUUAGUGAAACAGGUGAUGGACAGGAGUUGGAGAGGUGAAGAGAAGAAUAUUGGGUUUAUGUUUUUGUGUUCAAAACCCAGAAAAGAUGAUAAUGAAUAAAGAGUAAAGUAAUAGUGACAUUGUCUUCCAUACAGACUGUCAAGCUCUCUUUUCUUUUAACGGGAAUCUUUUUCUUCCAACACAAAUAUGAAUUCAUUUACAUAUAUGAAGUUUGUGUGUACUGUCUUGUAACUUUAAAACUGUAAGUAGCAGUGCAGAUAAUUCUUCAUCCGUUCUACUGUUUAGAAAUAUAAUUCUUUUUUCUUGAUAGGUUGAGAUCAAUUUUAUUAGUAAUUAUUUACGAAUUUUUUAGGUUUCUUUCAUCAUUCCGAACACGAAUUUAUUAGGAAUUUAGGGAUUUUUUCGUAAUCCCAUUCCAAGUUUUGGAUUAUCAAACAUGGGUACAUGACCGGAGGAGAAUUAAUUGGUUUUUGAAAUUUUAUGAUAUACAUAAACAAAAUUUUGUUUAUUUAUUUUUGGAGAAGUAAUUUUUAUUUAUUGAAAAUUUGAUUUUUAUUUAUUUGAAAAACGAGGAUAUUCAAAUUGUUGAUAGUUAGGAAGUGUCCCAAAUUCCUAAUUAGUAUAGAUUCUUUUUUUGUAAAUAAUAUUAUAUAGAAUAUUUCUAGGUUGAUAUAUUAUUGUAAUAUUAGACUUCCUUACAGAAUAAGGAAGGUUGUUGGAAAUAUCUCUAUAAAUAUUCUAGGUCAUGAGGGGAAAAAGUUAUGAGAUGGAGAUGGACCUGUAGAGACUAUACGAGGUGGAUAGAGAUGCGAGGAAGAACGAGAGGUACUCUAUGGAGCAAGAGGGCUCGUAGUAGGGUAUGGAUACAAGGAGUGGGGAAACAUGUGAUGUUUCGGGAACCCAAUAGUUGUAUUUGGUUCUGUCCUCUGUAAUAUUCUCUAUUGUAUAGUGGAAUCAUUCUCUCUCAUCCGUGGACGUAGGCAUGGUUGGCCGAACCACGUUAAAAUCUCAUGUACCGUAUGUGUGAUUGUUUUAUCUUUGUGUUCUUGAACUAACAUUGUUGGCAUCAAGGCUUUCGCUGGCCCUACAAUUGGUAUCAAAGCUUGGGUUGAAGAUUUCUGAAAGAGUAAAAGAUCACAAAGCACACAAGAUGAAAACAAAAGGAAUUUUCACUGAAGGUGGAGUCGAUUGCUCUUUCGUGGUGAUAUGAUACUAAAAGGUUUGUGUCAUGGAGAGAUUGAAGAUUAACUUCAUGGAAUUUACUCAAAGGUGGAGAUUGUUAGGAAGUGUCCCAAAUUCCUAAUUAGUAUAGAUUCAUUUUUUGUAAAGAAUAUUAUAUAGAAUAUUUCUAGGUUGAUAUAUUAUUGUAAUAUUAGACUUCCUUAUAGAAUAAGGAAGGUUGUUGGAAAUAUCUCUAUAAAUAUUCUAGGUCAUGAGGGGAAAAAGUUAUGAGAUGGAGAUGGACCUGUAGAGACUUCCGUAUGUGUGAUUGUUUUAUCUUUGUGUUCUUGAACUAACAUUGCUGGCAUCAAAGCUUUCGCUGACCCUACAUUGAUUAUAACCAAAUAUCUAAUUACAAGAAAAAAAAUAGAGAUUAAUAAAAAGAUAAAAUUGCAACCUCUCUCUCAAUUAAGAUGAAAGAAUAUAAAAUCUUACAAAAUGAUGAAAGAAAACUUUAUUUUAAUGAAUAGUAAGGGAUGGAGACCUCCUUUUAUAGCGUAGGGAAACUCUCCCCCCCCCCCCUCCCCCCCUCCCCCUUUGUCUUCUAAACGAGAUGGGAUGACUUCAACUUUGACACGAUACACUUAGAAAUGUAAUGUUGGAAUAAUUAUUUAUUUAUAUUUCAAUGUUAAGUAACAAUAAAAAUGAGAAUAAAAAAAAUAAGUCGACAAUAAUAUUCAUACGCUUAGUUUAAAAUAAUUUUUUAUUUUUAGGACAUCUAAUAGUGGUUUAAAAUCAUAUUUCUUUUUUACUAUAUUUUGUUAUGAUAAUAGUAAUUAACUCCAAAAACAAUGUAAGUUCAUUUGUAUAUUUGUAUAUAGGUUUAUUUGAGCAUCUAAAAAUGGUUAAUUUGGAUAUAUUUUUACGAUAGAGAAUUCUCUAGCUAAGAAGUCUUCUCUUAUGUACUUGUUUGCACAUUUAUAAUUAUUUUUUUUAGAGGAAAGAAAAUAGUGAGAAAAUUAUAAGGAAAAAAAUUUAUAAAAAUAUUCUCUAUUUUGAUGUCCAUUAAAAAAUUGAAGGAAAUAAAAUUAAGUUAUUUAGAAAUACACUUUACUCACCUUUAUAUAAGGAAAAUGAUGAGGACAACCAUUUAGCAUUUUCCAAUUCUUUUGCUUAAUAUAUAUUUUUUCAUCGCCUUUUUUCUUAAUAUUUUUAUUUCAUUUUUUAAUAUUUUUUAAGAACUAAAUAUGAUCUUAAUUAUCAUAAUUAUUAUAUUUAAAAGGUCUACCCAUUUUUGGUAUAGCGUGUCAUGUAUGCAAAACCUUAGUUGUAUUACAAAAGGGAUUUGUAUGCAUUAAUAUCACAACAAGAAAAGUGAGAUAUGGUCACAUAGUUUUUUUAAGAGGGGUCAACAAAAUUCACAAUGAAAGAGUGUAUAUAACCUCACUACUAUUUGAGCCACAAUAGUAGGAAUUCUCCCACCAAGCUUAUAGUUCCAGGAUUAAUCGGAUACAACCAUAAAACCUCCUAUUGUUGAGGGAUAAAAUUGGUCGCUAUAAUAUAUGGCCCAAUGAAUGCAAGUUGGUCACUACAAUAAAACCAAUAUAUAAAUUCCCUACCAUUUCUCUUUUGCUCACCCUUGAUUGCUAAACUCAUUUCUUCUUUCAUCAUUGCUAGUCCAAUGUGAGAUUAAUCUUUAAUCAUGAAUUUUUUUUUCUCAAUGAUCACUCAUUGUGGGACGUAGCUUGAUGUUUUUUUAUUCACACAUUGCCCUCUCAUUAUUGUCAUUUUAUUUUAUUAUGAUUUCACUCUCUCAUUAUCUACUGUCUAAUUUUCUAGGAUUUUGAAUUGCUAGGUUUCGAGUUAUCACAAGAUUUGAAGGCUUUUCAAGCAUGACUUCUCCAUCAUUUUUCUCUUUUCUAGGGUUUUCUAGUUGAUUUCUCCUUUUCCAUUUUUGGGUUUUAUUUCUCUUCAUGUUUUGUGAUUUUCUAGCUUUCUAGAUUUUUUUUUUUAAUUUUUAUAUUAAAAUGUGAGAGGUGAUUGAUGCAUAGGGAAAUCUAGAUUUCAUAAAAUUGUUGAAAAGUAUAUAACUCUAUUUUCCAAACAAAAACUCCUUUGUUUGCCAAAAAGAUGAGGUGAAAGUUGAAGUAGAUAAGAAGUACAGGGAAGGGAGGGGAGAAGGAGGGGCCAUCAACCAUGUAUAGAAUGAGAAAACUUGAGAAGAGUGGGUUGUGUAUUUGAGGGGUGAGGGGUUAGUAUUCUCUAUACUUACUUUGGCCAUAUGUUUUUUCUUUGUCCUAUUUGGUUCUAGAUAUUUUUUUUACUAUGAAUUACUUCUAACAUAGUAAAAAUAUUUCUACCUAGCUUAACUAGUUGUGUUGAAUUCAAACAUUACAAUGACUAUGAGAAUGUGGAGUGAUAGGUAAGAUAAGUAGCUAUUAUAUCAACAAAUGAACUAAUUAAGGUGCAUUUGAAGUGUAGUAGAGUACUUAUUAGCUCAAAAACACAUAAAAAACUUGAUAAUUUUGAAAAGGCGACAAAUGACUAAUCAGUUCAAAAUUGAGAAACUAAUUACUUUUGGAGAGGUACAACUAAAACAAAUAGCUACUAAAGAUGUACAAAUUGAAUAAAUAACCCCUGAAAGACACAUAUAGAAAUAGCCCCUAAAGAGAUACAAUUUGAACAAAUAGCCCUUUACUUCACUAGGGUUUUUCUUAAUGGGUGUUUUGUAGUUCUGAGAUAUAUUUUUAUGAUCAUCCAAGAUGGAGUGUUAAUAAAAUAUGAGAAUAUGGAAACUUAUGAAUGAUCAUCUAUAUUGAUGUAAAUCUCUUCAUAACUCUCUAUAAAAAGGAAGACCUAAUAUUGAAAGGAUAUUUAAUUCUAUAAGAGAAUUUCAGUUUCUUCUUCUUGUAAUUCUUCUAUUAUAUAACAAAACUUAUUUUUUUUGUAUAUUACACCUAAUUUUCCUUUUUAUUUAUCUAUUCCUUAACCUUUAAUUUUCCCACAUAUCUUAAAAUGGCCUUGCAUCAAGCAUAAAUUAGCUAAAUAGUAAAAUAAUAGGUAUAAUAUAUUUAUAUCACUAUGGUAUAAACUUAUAGUACGUUUAUGUUUGGUUUUACAUUAAAAAAUAUAAAAAUAUAUAAUUAAAAUUAGUUAAAAGUGAUGUCUUUUAAAAUUAUUUCAUCUUUAUAUAAAAUAUUUAAAAUAUGUAAAAAAAAAAGGAUUGAGUUUGAAAUAACAUAUAAAAAUACAGAUCCAAAUUGAUUCCAUUCAUUCUCCUUUCCUUUUGUGAUUUUGCAUUAAAGAAACUCAUCCCAACAACCUCACAAAUAAUGCUUAUGAAAAAAUAAAAUAAAAUUAAAGGCAUGAUGAAGUGAAAAGAGGAACAUCCCAAUGAAUGGAGCAGAGAGCAAAGUUCUUGUCUUGAUUUCCAGUUGAUGCUUUUUCCCUGUUUUAGCUCCUUAAACUCUGUUCCUUUCAACUCUACAGCAAAAUCCUCUAAAUUUUCACCUUCUCUCCUCCAAUGCUCUCUUGGAUUUAUGAAAAUACUCCCAUUAGUUUCCUAAGAGUCAAGCCUUUUCGCUAUUUUUUUUUUCUCCCAUGGAUUUUAAUAAUUUUCCAACCUAUACUUUUAGUCAAAUAAUAAAGAGAAAAAAUAAAUAUUGAAUUUAAAAUAAUAAAAAGGCUACAAAUUCAUUAAAUGUAUUUUAAAAAUAUUUUUAAUUUAAAUUUAACUACUUUUUACCUUCAAAGUUUUAAUGAUAAAGUGUUUUUAAGUUAUACUGUUGCUUUCUUACUCUAUCUUUCUCUAUUUUCAGCUUUCUUACCCUAUCUUUCUCUAUUUUCAUCCGUCAACCUUGGAAAAAGACCUGAUUUUGGAUAUUGUCUUUACUUCCUUAUCUCUUAAUCUAUGUUAAUUACAUAAUUGUGUAAAUAAUUAAUUUAAGAAAAAAGUUUUUUUUCAUUACUCAUGACAUGAAAUGAUAAAAAUAAAAUAAAAUAAAGUAAAAAAGUAAUUAUAUGAAUAGCAUAUGAAAGGUUAAUCUCUUCUUAUGAAGGUAUAUGAUUAUAGUAAUGGAAUGUGAAAUCCAUUCCAUCUUCAACCUGCAUGAGAUUGUAUUAUUACAUGCCAAAACCUAUUUAUAGCCAAAGAGAAAAACAAUCUAAGCUACUUCUCGGGACGUACCCAUGGGAGCACUUUUUUUUGUUGUUGUUGUUUCUUUAUGUUGGGACCAAACACGGGUUCAAAUCUUCCUGCACAGAGGUUGGAAAUCUUGCCAAGAAGCCUACAAUUUUGAAGGUUGGGCUUAGGAUUUUGGAUCAAAACUUUCAUAUAUCUUCAAUGGUAUCACGGGGUAUGGUGCUUAAGCCAAAAUCAUUUCUGGAUCAACUUCUACUUUUGACAGUCCUUUCAAAUUAGAGAGAGAAUAGUCUUGUGCACUAGAGUAACUUAUACACAUGGCCCCAUUCAAUCAAUUUCAUAGUUCUAUGAUUUAAAAAUUCCAAUUUAUUUUCUUUUUCUUUACAUUAAUUUUCUCAACAAAUAAGCAGUUUAUCAUCUUCUACUUUUAUGAAAUCAACCAAAAUCUCAAACAGAGCACCUACAAAACCACAAAAAAGGAAAGGGAUCGAAAAAGUGAAAAACUACCAAUUCGAGCUUUCUUUGACAAGAUAAUCAGAGCUUGGAGUGCAAGUUUGUAGACAUGGAAGCUCGUGUGCAGUGGAAAAGAAGAAAAUGGCUGGUCAUGAUCCAGCGAUGCACUAAUCGAGGCUUGUGGGGAUUGGAGAAGAUUGUUGUGUCUUCCUUUGAGCUUUUGCAUUUUGGUUUUUGAAUUUCGUGGAGAUUAAGGGAUAGUUUCCUGGAAAAGGAGGUUGGAGAGAAAUAAUUGAUGAUGUUGCCAAACAAUCUUUACAAAUAACAUCUAUUUUUGCAUUUUUCUAUAAGAAUUUUACCAAGUGGUUGUGCAUAAUCUCAUGGCUCCACGACUCCCAAGUCCCAAACAAUCUAAUGAAGUGUGUAGAGUGAGAAACCAGAAAGAAAUUAAAUAUAAUCAAAAUACAUGAAAAGUUAACAUAAUAUUUCAAAUAGAAAUAAAAUAAUAUCUUGAGAGGUAGACUCAAACAAUCACAAUGCACAUUUGGACUUGGCCAUGUUUAUAACAUUAAAAUUUUUAAAUACAAUUAUAUAUAUAAAAAAAAAAGGAAGAAAAAAGGAUUUUACCUGUAAUAAGAUGAAUGCCAUGGGAGCUCAAAUCUCGUCUUGAAUUUGUGUGGGUUGAAAAUAUGGAGUGAGGUUGUGCAUAAUCACUUGAUCCUCCCAAUCCAAACCAUCCCACCAUUCUUUUUGUCCACGGAUUUGCUCUAAUUUCUUGCUUAUUCCAGUGUUGGAAUCAAAUGGCAGCUUCCUCAAACUUGGACAUUGAAGCACACGGAUGUAUCUUAAAGAUGGAAAAGGUAGGGCACGUCCAUAUAUACUUCUUAGCUUUGGUAGCCAUGUUAAAGUGAGUGAUAUGAGUCUCGAGAAAACACCCAAAUGAUCUACCUCAAUUUCUAAAACUUCACUUCUUUCAUCAUCUAUCACUUUUUCCAUUGAUUCACAGAAUUCAACACUUAGAAAUUGAAGGCUUGGAGCACAAAUAAGCCAUGUCAAAUUCAACAAUUUAUGACAUCGAAAUAUUUUGACAUCACAAAGGUUGUUCAAGCAUGGGUGCCUUGGGAAUUUUGAGUAGACCACCACUUCAUUUUCAAAAUUGAUUUUCACAUCUUGCAAUUCAAAACAAUUUUUAAUAUGGAGGGUCUCUAUAUAAAGGGAUAGUUGGACCAGGUUCAUACGCUCACAAACUAAUUGUAGCCAUCUUGUGGAUCUUUGCAACUUGUGGGAGUUAAAUAAUGUUUGGAUGGAUGAUACACUUGUAAGGUCGAUGGAUAUAUCAUCAAUGUGUUCCAACUGCUCUAACUCUUCUAAUAACCUUCUUUCAUCAUAUCCCUUAAAGGCUGACCCUUCCGUGCUAUACAUACUAAACAAUUGCAAAGAGGAAAGACUCGAUACCAUUUGAGAUGGAAGUGACUCAAGAAAAUACAUAUCAUUCAAUAUCAAGCACCUUAAUUUUUUCAAGUUCUUGAGCUCCACAGGUAAGUAUUCAAUACUUGUACACGACAAAUUAAGAUAUUGCAAGGUAACUAAGUUUCUAAUCUCCACAGGUAACUUCAUAAGUUUAAAAUUGUUUGACAAGUCCAAAACUCUUAUAAUAGGCAUGUUUGUAAAGAAUCUAUUUGAAAAUGACUCAAUAAACACACUUGAUGCCAAAAAGGUCUCAAUAUUAGGGAAAUAUGGUGGUUUCCUAUGUUCUUCAAUGUCGGUAUUCCACAAUGAUAUCCUCUGUGUCUCUUUCCAUUUUUCAACUUCCUGAGCUCUAAUCGAUUCGACUCCAUCUUUUACCACAAAUUUGUUCUUCUUCUUCCCAUUUUCGUGAGCCAACCACAAAGCCAUAUCACGAAUAACAUCAUGCAUCUUCAAAUAUUCGUCUUUUUCAUCUAAUGGAGAUAUGCCAUUCUCCAAUAGACAUGCAAGCUGUAAACUUUUAAUAACUUCUUCGCCUUGAUUUCUUGCUUUUUGUAUGUUGUCACAUUCAUCCAGAAAACCCUCCCCAAUCCAAAGUUGUAUAAUAUUUCGAUGAGAGAUUUCAUAAUCCUCCGGAAAUAAAGAGCAAUAUAGGAAACACGAUUUGAUGGUUUCAUCGGGUAGGCUAUCAUAACUGAAUGCCAAGCGUGAAAACAGACGAUUCUCCAUACCUGGAAACUUUGCCGGAUAAUUCUUCAACAUUUGUAUUUUUU
RNAcentral lists this long non-coding RNA (16239 nucleotides) under Vitis vinifera (wine grape). RNAcentral describes it as "long non-coding RNA (VVIN_LNC006750)". The record is from RNAcentral. Lineage: Eukaryota; Viridiplantae; Streptophyta; Magnoliopsida; Vitales; Vitaceae.